This 375-nucleotide ribosomal RNA is filed under the name uncultured eukaryote. RNAcentral's name for it is "partial 18S ribosomal RNA". It matches the Rfam family "Eukaryotic small subunit ribosomal RNA", at positions 592 to 976 of the family's 1831-position model. The record is from RNAcentral.
CAAUAGCGUAUAUUUAAGUUGUUGCAGUUAAAAAGCUCGUAGUUGGAUUUCGGUUAAGAGCGACCGGUCCGCCGUUUGGUGUGCACUGGUUGGUUUUAACUUCCUGUAGAGGACGUGCUCUGGGUUUAACGACCUGGACUCGGAGUCUACGUGGUUACUUUGAAAAAAUUAGAGUGUUCAAAGCGGGCUUACGCUUGAAUAUUUCAGCAUGGAAUAACACUAUAGGACUCCUGUCCUAUUUCGUCGGUCUCGGGACGGGAGUAAUGAUUAAGAGGAACAGUUGGGGGCAUUCGUAUUUCAUUGUCAGAGGUGAAAUUCUUGGAUUUAUGAAAGACGAACUUCUGCGAAAGCAUUUGCCAAGGAUGUUUNCAUUAA